Molecule: ribosomal RNA, 253 nt
Filed under: uncultured bacterium
Lineage: Bacteria
Description: partial 16S ribosomal RNA
Rfam family: Bacterial small subunit ribosomal RNA
Source: RNAcentral
UACAGAGGGUGCGAGCGUUGUCCGGAAUUACUGGGCGUAAAGAGCUCGUAGGUGGUUUGUCGCGUUGUUCGUGAAAACUCACAGCUCAACUGUGGGCGUGCGGGCGAUACGGGCAGACUUGAGUACUGCAGGGGAGACUGGAAUUCCUGGUGUAGCGGUGGAAUGCGCAGAUAUCAGGAGGAACACCGGUGGCGAAGGCGGGUCUCUGGGCCUUACCUGACGCUGAGGAGCGAAAGCGUGGGGAGCGAACAGG